This 253-nucleotide ribosomal RNA is filed under the name uncultured bacterium. RNAcentral's name for it is "partial 16S ribosomal RNA". It matches the Rfam family "Bacterial small subunit ribosomal RNA", at positions 524 to 776 of the family's 1533-position model. The record is from RNAcentral.
UACGUAGGGUGCGAGCGUUAAUCGGAAUUACUGGGCGUAAAGCGUGCGCAGGCGGUUUUGUAAGCCAGAUGUGAAAUCCCCGGGCUCAACCUGGGAACUGCAUUUGUGACUGCACAGCUGGAGUGCGGCAGAGGGGGAUGGAAUUCCGCGUGUAGCAGUGAAAUGCGUAGAUAUGCGGAGGAACACCGAUGGCGAAGGCAAUCCCCUGGGCCUGCACUGACGCUCAUGCACGAAAGCGUGGGGAGCAAACAGG